Molecule: ribosomal RNA, 501 nt
Filed under: uncultured bacterium
Lineage: Bacteria
Description: partial 16S ribosomal RNA
Rfam family: Bacterial small subunit ribosomal RNA
Source: RNAcentral
AUUGAACGCUGGCGGCAUGCCUUACACAUGCAAGUCGAACGGCAGCACGGGUGCUUGCACCUGGUGGCGAGUGGCGAACGGGUGAGUAAUACAUCGGAACGUACCUUAUCGUGAGGGAUAACGCAGCGAAAGUUGCGCUAAUACCGCAUACGCCCUGAGGGGGAAAGCGGGGGACCGUAAGGCCUCGCGCGAUUAGAGCGGCCGAUGUCUGAUUAGCUUGUUGGGGAGGUAAAAGCUCACCAAGGCGAUGAUCAGUAGCUGGUCUGAGAGGACGAUCAGCCACACUGGGACUGAGACACGGCCCAGACUCCUACGGGAGGCAGCAGUGGGGAAUUUUGGACAAUGGGGGCAACCCUGAUCCAGCAAUGCCGCGUGAGUGAAGAAGGCCUUCGGGUUGUAAAGCUCUUUUGUCAGGGAAGAAACAGCAGCUCUAACACAGUCUGCGAAUGACGGUACCUGAAGAAUAAGCACCGGCUAACUACGUGCCAGCCGCCGCAGUAA